CUGUCUAACCUUCCUGCCUCCUCUGAAGGGACAACUUGGCAAUUUCGGAGCGAUUGCCUGUUUCCCACAGAAAGCAACCAUCUGUGUUCAGGAACCAAGGCACAUCACUGCCACCUUUUCAGCUGUCAGGGUCUGAAGAAGCAGAACAACUUCACUAUUCGGAAGCUCUUUCACAUUUACCACCACCUAACUCUUUUGUUGACCCUAUGUUUGAACUUCCACAGCUGGAAGAUAUAAAACCUGAGGAGCAUAUCCCAGUCUCAAGGCUUCCAGGUUUAAAGUCUGAGAAGCUGAUCUCAGAACCACAGCCAGAAGAUAUGACAUCUGUGGAGCUACCCCCAAGGACACAUUUGGGAGGCACCAAAUCAAGCUGUAAAGCCAAUGGAAGUCAUGGAAACACUGCAUGUAACUCCUAAACCACAAAUCAAAUAACCGAAUCAGUGGAAGUGACCCCCCAAGAUUCAGCAAGAAGCUGUAGAACCAAACAGGAUGGCCUGAAGACUAAAUAAAGUCAUAGAUAAUGUGAAGAUAA
This is a non-coding RNA of Heterocephalus glaber (naked mole-rat), 532 nucleotides long. The record is from RefSeq and is a predicted model, not a curated record. Lineage: Eukaryota; Metazoa; Chordata; Mammalia; Rodentia; Bathyergidae.